RNAcentral lists this ribosomal RNA (488 nucleotides) under uncultured bacterium. RNAcentral's name for it is "partial 16S ribosomal RNA". It matches the Rfam family "Bacterial small subunit ribosomal RNA", at positions 28 to 507 of the family's 1533-position model. The record is from RNAcentral.
GACGAACGCUGGCGGCGUGCUUAACACAUGCAAGUCGAACGGAAAGGCCCUGCUUUUGUGGGGUGCUCGAUUGGCGAACGGGUGAGUAACACGUGAGUAACCUGCCCUUGACUUUGGGAUAACUUCAGGAAACUGGGGCUAAUACCGGAUAGGAUCUCCUGCUGCAUGGUGGGGGUUGGAAAGUUUCGGCGGUUGGGGAUGGACUUGCGGCUUAUCAGCUUGUUGGUGGGGUAGUGGCUUACCAAGGCUUGGACGGGUAGCCGGCGUGAGAGGGUGACCGGCGACACUGGAGGUGGAACGGCGACCAGGGGCCUACGGGAGGCAGCAGUCGCGAACGGGGGGCAAUGGGGGGAAGCCUGGCACAGUGGGGCGGCGUGGGAGAAGGAGGCCUUGGGGGCGGAAAGCCGUCUUUUGGGUUAAAAACAGCUUUGGGCUGAGACGAAGCGGGAGUGACGGUACCGGAUAAAGAAGCACCGGCUAACUACGUG